RNAcentral lists this ribosomal RNA (753 nucleotides) under bacterium enrichment culture clone PF-1_33. Its description in RNAcentral is "partial 16S ribosomal RNA". It matches the Rfam family "Bacterial small subunit ribosomal RNA", at positions 1 to 731 of the family's 1533-position model. The record is from RNAcentral.
CUGUAAAACGCGGGAAUUCGAUUAGAGUUUGAUCCUGGCUCACCUUGAACGCUGGCGGCAUGCCUUACACAUGCAAGUCGAACGGCAGNNNNNNNNNNUGCACCUGGUGGCGAGUGGCGAACGGGUGAGNNNNNNAUCGGAACAUGUCCAGUAGUGGGGGAUAGCCCGGCGAAAGCCGGAUUAAUACCGCAUACGAUCUACGGAUGAAANCGGGGGAUCUUCGGACCUCGCGCUAUUGGGGUGGCCGAUGGCGGAUUAGCUAGUUGGUGGGGUAAAGGCCCACCAAGGCGACGAUCCGUAGCUGGUCUGAGAGGACGACCAGCCACACUGGGACUGAGACACGGCCCAGACUCCUACGGGAGGCAGCAGUGGGGAAUUUUGGACAAUGGGCGAAAGCCUGAUCCAGCAAUGCCGCGUGUGUGAAGAAGGCCUUCGGGUUGUAAAGCACUUUUGUCCGGAAAGAAAUCCUGGUGGCUAAUAUCCGCCGGGGAUGACGGUACCGGAAGAAUAAGCACCGGCUAACUACGUGCCAGCAGCCGCGGUAAUACGUAGGGUGCGAGCGUUAAUCGGAAUUACUGGGCGUAAAGCGUGCGCAGGCGGUGAUGUAAGACCGAUGUGAAAUCCCCGGGCUUAACCUGGGAACUGCAUUGGUGACUGCAUCGCUGGAGUAUGGCAGAGGGGGGUAGAAUUCCACGUGUAGCAGUGAAAUGCGUAGAGAUGUGGAGGAAUACCGAUGGCGAAGGCAGCCCCCUG